This 440-nucleotide ribosomal RNA is filed under the name uncultured bacterium. RNAcentral's name for it is "partial 16S ribosomal RNA". It matches the Rfam family "Bacterial small subunit ribosomal RNA", at positions 338 to 795 of the family's 1533-position model. The record is from RNAcentral.
CCUACGGGAGGCAGCAGUGGGGAAUAUUGCACAAUGGGGGCAACCCUGAUGCAGCGACGCCGCGUGAGUGAAGAAGUAAUUCGUUGUGUAAAGCUCUAUCAGCAGGGAAGAAACUGACGGUACCUGAGUAAGAAGCGCCGGCUAACUACGUGCCAGCAGCCGCGGUAAUACGUCGGGGGCAAGCGUUAUCCGGAUUUACUGGUUGUAAAGGGCGCGUAGACGGGAGUGCAAGUCUGGAGUGAAAGGCGGGGGCUCAACCCCCGUACUGCUCUGGAAACUGUACUGCUUGAGUGCAGGAGAGGUAAGUGGAAUUCCUAGUGUAGCGGUGAAAUGCGUAGAUAUUAGGAGGAACACCAGUGGCGAAGGCGGCUUACUGGAUUGUAACUGACGUUGAGGCUCGAAAGCGUGGGGAGCAAACAGGAUUAGAUACCCGAGUAGUC